AUUGAACGCUGGCGGAAUGCUUUACACAUGCAAGUCGAACGGUAGAGGGGGCAACCCCUUGAGAGUGGCGAACGGGUGAGUAAUAUAUCGGGAACGUGCCCAGUCGUGGGGAUAACGUAGCGAAAGUUACGCUAAUACCGCAUACGAUCUAAGGAUGAAAGCGGGGGAUCGCAAGACCUCGCGCGAUUGGAGCGGCCGAUAUCAGAUUAGGUAGUUGGUGAGGUAAAGGCUCACCAAGCCAACGAUCUGUAGCUGGUCUGAGAGGACGACCAGCCACACUGGAACUGAGACACGGUCCAGACUCCUACGGGAGGCAGC
Molecule: ribosomal RNA, 318 nt
Filed under: uncultured bacterium
Lineage: Bacteria
Description: bacterial SSU rRNA
Rfam family: Bacterial small subunit ribosomal RNA
Source: RNAcentral